Molecule: long non-coding RNA, 3127 nt
Filed under: Homo sapiens (human)
Lineage: Eukaryota; Metazoa; Chordata; Mammalia; Primates; Hominidae
Description: HSALNT0365859
Source: RNAcentral
CACAGCUUCACUGCAGCCAGCGUGGAGCAGGAUGCUGACAGCAGAGUGGCUCCAGUGAGCUGCCAUUCCAGAUGUCAGGAACAAGCUCACAGACUGAGUGAAGCCGAGAAGGAUUGCAAACACCAGUGAGAAAGGGCUGGGAGACAACAGUGACGGAGAAGAGGAGCAGGCUUUCAGGCGAUAAGGUGGCUGUGAACUGGUUACAGUUUCCUGAGAUCAACUGCGGUCUGAAAAUCGAAGUCUUCAAUCAACACAACUGAGCUGAGACUCCUCUAGAAGAGAGCUAUCAGGGUCCUGACAGACAGCUGGUGAGGUGCAGAAUGACAUGAGUGAGGGGCUUGGCGCUGACGUGAAGGUUGAGGAGGCAGUCACCGGAACCCCACGCAGGCUAGAGCUGUGACCGACAGAAACGACGAUGUGUGUUCCUAGAGGCUUAGGCAGUGCCAGAGAAAUCACUCAGUGCCAGCUGGCUCCUGCAUGAAUGCUUCUCUAGACAAGCUGACCUUUGCUACUUAGUAGGGUGUACGUUGCCUCUAAGCCCAUUUCCAAUUUACUGACACCUGGUGGAUUUUUAUUCACCACUGAGCUCUGGCCCGAAGAGAGCUGCCAAACGUCCUAGGCCAUCCAUUCACUCAGCACUUAUAAUCGUGAUAGUCACCACCCAUGAAAGCUUUAGGACCUGUUUCAGGUAAGAGCACUAACUUUUGGGACAGAGCCUACCAGUGUUCAAAUUUUGCUUUGAUGGCUACUAAAUAGCUACAGUUUGGAAGCUCUUGAGCUUCCUCUGGUCCCCCUUCCUAGCCUGUAGAAGAGGAUAUUGCUAAAGGGCUAUUGUAGGUAAAAUGAAAUGGGAUCAGGGUUGCAAAUGCCGUUUUUUACUGUUGCAGUGUUUCUGCAUCGUGUCGCCUGAGGGCUUUCUUCUGUGACCAGAAACUGCUCUGCCCCCAAGCAGCACUGGCCUGGAACUGGAGAAUUAAAGACCUCCCUAAUCCCACACGCAAACUUUGAUGUGAUUGGCAUAUAAGUAUCUUAGCACCCUAGUAUCAUGAGUUACAUGGCGCUGAGGCACAUAUUCCACGCUGGGCCCAGCACUUCCCAGAGGGACUGAGUCCCAGGGUGGCAUCUCACUUGGUGAUGUGCCUUGUACUGGUUACCUUCCCUUCCCAUGUCAGCUCACUCUUCUACUGGCGUGUGCUGGAAUCACCUCCCAAACCAACUAUUUAAAUCUUUGCUUCUGGAGAGACCCCAACUAAAAUAAUAUGUAUUUGCUCUAAGUAGUUUGAUACAGAGCAGAUAAUGAAAAACAGGAGCUGACAAUUAUAAAGUGGAAUUCUUGAGCAAGUGGUAAGCUCCAUUUCUUAGCCUUCUACACCCUCCUCCUCACAACACCAGAGUCAAGAAUUCCUGUCUCCUAAGGAAAUGUCUCUUAUGGCUUGGGUGGAUGCUGUUGUAGGGGUAUGAAACAAGCCAGUUCCCUUAGCCAGUGAGUAUGCACUGGCUGUUUAGAAUGUGCCCAACAGGCGCCAGCCUCUGGAGAGGUCAUUAAUAGCCUCGGGCAUGGUCCCUGCCUCAAGUUGGAGAGUUAGGGCUCAUGAAGUAAGGAGCAAUACAUUUCCAGCCCGUGCUGUUUGACAGCAGUACUUUUCAACACUCGGCCACAUGUGCUGAAGCCUGCUGGUGUCUGCCCAGGUCCCCUCGACUGGAGGGGACCCUGUGCCCCCUCUAGAGCAUUGAUGAGUAACUCACAGCUGUCUCUCCAGAGAGUCAUCCUUGGCCAAACCUUCAUGUGGGCAGCUACCACCCACCACACCAGCCCCUCUUCCAGAUCAGACCUCAGCAAACCUGACUGGCCUAGGGAUACAGAAGACCAGCCUCUUGCGUCCACGUGGGACCAAGUCUGCAGUGUGACUUGUGCUCCAGAACUCUCCCACAGGCUCAGCCUGAAGUCAGGCUCCAGCGAAGCCCAUCCCUGCCUGGCUUCUCUCCACAGUCCUAUUCUGCUGCCCUGACUCCUCUUCCCUAAGGGCUAUUGCCCAGCGAAGCCCAUGGUCUCAGACUGGGCUUCAAAGAAACCUGACUCCAUGUUAGCAUCUUCUGCGGAGUUUUAUAAAAACACAUACACCUGAACUUAACCACCUAGACUUACUGAGCCAGAAGCUAUAGAGCUUCAAGAGUGGGAACCAGACAACUGUAUGCUUUAAAGCCUAAUAGAUAUUUCUAAUUCACCAGUUUAUCUCUCAACUUUUCAUUUUGAAAAUGCCAAACUUACAGAAAUAAUGAAAGUAUAAUGUAGUGAUAAAUAUCUACAUACUCAGCAUCUAGAUAUACCAAUUAUUAAUAUUUUGCUCCAUUUUCCUCUCUCUCUCUCACAUAUCAAAAAUAAUUUGCAAGUAAAUUGUAGACAUUAUGACACUUUAUCCUUCAGUUCUUCAGCAGAUAUUAUCCAAGAAUAAAGACAUUCUCCUACAUAACCCCAGUGUCAUAAUCACCCACAGGAAAUUAAUACUAACUUGUUAACAUCCCCAGAGCAUACAGUCCAUAGUUAAGAUGUACCCUCUGUUUUAGGCCAAAGGUGGCAAUUUUCUCAACUUUAGACUCAACAGAAGUUUGGAGAAGGGAAAAAUCUGUAUGAGUUGAAUAGAAAGGAAAAUACUUCAUGGAGGAAAGAGGAUAAGAAUUGGGCUGUGAAGGAUUGACAUUAGAAAGAAGGGGUGGAGCAAAUGCUCAGAUAGAAGCAGGUAAAUACCUAUGCAAACAUGCAGACAUGGGCAUUGGAAUUGCCUUUUGUGGGAGGAGAAGACUGAGCAGAAUUUGUGGACUAGGAUAGGUAGGCUGUGCAGCUGGACAGGCCUCAUGCAAUCUGAGUACAGAGAAAUUGCCAAUCCAAGCAAUCAAAAAAACAGUGGCCACACACCAAGAAACGUUAAAGGUGACUGCACUUAGGAGAGUGGCAUCAGAUUUGUGGGACACAUUCAGGUGAAUUCUAGUCAGGACCAUGGCAAAGCAUUUGGGGUCAGAAUUAAACUGGGGAGUUAAUUACUGAUUGAAAUUCAUUUAUUCAUAUAUUCGUUCUACCAGCAUUUUCUGAGUACAUAUUAUGUGCCAAAAUACCAAUGUGAACACAGGA